GCAAGCAGCUUGCUGCUUUGCUGACGAGUGGCGGACGGGUGAGUAAUGUCUGGGAAACUGCCUGAUGGAGGGGGAUAACUACUGGAAACGGUAGCUAAUACCGCAUAACGUCGCAAGACCAAAGAGGGGGACCUUCGGGCCUCUUGCCAUCGGAUGUGCCCAGAUGGGAUUAGCUAGUAGGUGGGGUAACGGCUCACCUAGGCGACGAUCCCUAGCUGGUCUGAGAGGAUGACCAGCCACACUGGAACUGAGACACGGUCCAGACUCCUACGGGAGGCAGCAGUGGGGAAUAUUGCACAAUGGGCGCAAGCCUGAUGCAGCCAUGCCGCGUGUAUGAAGAAGGCCUUCGGGUUGUAAAGUACUUUCAGCGGGGAGGAAGGGAGUAAAGUUAAUACCUUUGCUCAUUGACGUUACCCGCAGAAGAAGCACCGGCUAACUCCGUGCCAGCAGCCGCGGUAAUACGGAGGGUGCAAGCGUUAAUCGGAAUUACUGGGCGUAAAGCGCACGCAGGCGGUUUGUUAAGUCAGAUGUGAAAUCCCCGGGCUCAACCUGGGAACUGCAUCUGAUACUGGCAAGCUUGAGUCUCGUAGAGGGGGGUAGAAUUCCAGGUGUAGCGGUGAAAUGCGUAGAGAUCUGGAGGAAUACCGGUGGCGAAGGCGGCCCCCUGGACGAAGACUGACGCUCAGGUGCGAAAGCGUGGGGAGCAAACA
This 710-nucleotide ribosomal RNA is filed under the name Escherichia coli. RNAcentral describes it as "bacterial SSU rRNA". It matches the Rfam family "Bacterial small subunit ribosomal RNA", at positions 71 to 774 of the family's 1533-position model. The record is from RNAcentral. Lineage: Bacteria; Pseudomonadati; Pseudomonadota; Gammaproteobacteria; Enterobacterales; Enterobacteriaceae.